Molecule: long non-coding RNA, 26102 nt
Filed under: Sorghum bicolor (sorghum)
Lineage: Eukaryota; Viridiplantae; Streptophyta; Magnoliopsida; Poales; Poaceae
Description: long non-coding RNA (SBIC_LNC010633)
Rfam family: Plant small nucleolar RNA R71 (bases 4793-4899)
Source: RNAcentral
CGGAAACCAAUCAAAGAUUGACUCCUUCUAGUUGUAAUCCUAUGUAGCUAUGCUAAUCUAGAUAUCUAAUUGAUGUGGUGGCUCUAAUCUUGAUCAGGGGCUUCUUCUCCCUUGAAGAAUAAUGAAUUAGGGUUGAGAGGCUCUCUCCUCCAGGGGCCAGGGGGUCUGGUUUUAUAGUCCCUUCAAGUGAAUAUGGGCCGUUGGAUCAAACCGACAUAGAUUGUAUGGUUUAGAUUCAUCCUUUAGAUCGGUGGAGAUCUCCCACGAAGCAGAGUCCUGAUUGGACUCAGGAGGUGGGCGGGCGCCCUGAUCACCUGGGCGGGUGCCCAGGGUUAGGCCCCGUUUCGCCUCCGCUUCAGUCUCGUGGCUUCUGGAGUCUUCUAGAUGUAAGAUAAUUGCGUGGCACGUUAAUAUCUCUAUGUAAUCCCGACGUGUGGGCCUUUCUUUCGUAUUUCCUGAUAACCCCCUGCAGAAAUAGACAAACACCAAAACUCGUGGAAUUCUGUCAGAUAAAACCCUAAGUCUAGAUGUUGAUUUCAUUUGGAUCCUUUUCUUUGUUUAUUUGAUAAUUAAAUUUGAUACAUAAGGACCGUCAACAAACUCCCCCAAGCUUACCUCUUGCUCGUCCGUGAGCAAGGAUAGACUCAGCUAUGGAUCAUAGGUUGUUGCAAUAUCUUAAAAAUUGACGGUACACAUGCUUUUUUAAAUAAGAUCUCAUCUCCGAGUUAGAGUAAACUGUCAAGACUUAAAACUUACUUACUUUACCUUCACCAUGGGACUUGUAACUGUCACUUCUGUCUUGAGUAGUUAAAAGAUAGAACAGUCUAGCCAAGUGCCAUGUCUCUUAUUCUUGAUCAGCUAUAGCUCUGGGAUUUUUGCAGAUUUUCAAAUAAAACUCAGAGAUUCCUUGUAUGAUUCUCUCAGAUCUCUCUUUUGUGGUAUUUCUGGAUCCUUACCAAGGCAGUGAUGGUAUAUGCCUUCUCUCAAGAUAUGUGGUAUUUGUGGUAUGAAGCAUAGUGACAUUAUCUUAUCUCUCACCCUACUUCUAAUAAGGCUUUAAUAUCUGGAGCUCAUAGGUGGGAGAUAAAGUAUACAUACUCACAAGACAUUUAUCGUAUAGUCAAACCAUGGAUCCAAAGAAACAAAUCAAUAAGCCAAAUCAAGAUGUGCAUGUGUUGCGAAUGAAUGGUAUAUGGUGAUGAUGGUGAUAACAAUGGUGGAAACAAUGGUGGUGGAAGUCUAAUUCUACUUUGCUCUUUUGAGGGGAUAAUACCUUCCUUGCUUUUUGAAACUUUAUGAGGAGAAUGAGAUGCUCUUCUUUUUCUUUCCUCUCAGGUGGGUAUCUUGUACCCCUAAUUCUACUAUCGGACACUUGUCCAUUUUUACCUCUCGUCUUACUUUUUUUCUUUUCUUUCGAGGUUCCGAGCACUUGCUCCUUUUUAUUUCCUCGUAUUUUUUCUUUUUUUUAGAGCACUCAUCUCUUGAGAUAAUAUAGCAAGUGGUAGUAACAAGAUAACUUGAGCAUUUAUUUCACAAGGGAAAACAGAAAUAUUUUUGGUUAUUCUCUCCCGGAUUAGGAGUAGAAUAUUUUUGGGUGAUUCUGGAGAUAGAAAUGAGUGGAUAUAUGUGGAUGGUACUUCCGGAGUAGAAGUAGCAUAUAUGAGUGAACGUGCAAGUGAAAUCUUGAUUUAACCACAUGACAAGCUUCUAAGGGUCUACACAGCUUGACCACACUCAAUGCUCAUAAGCAGUAAAUAGUAAAUGUGUGGCUCAAAGUCUAGCAAGCAUGUAUAUAUGGCUGUGGUAGGAAUUUAAACUCUCAUCAUACAGGAACUCAUCAUGCAACAUUUUAAAGAUUUUCAAAGAUAAAAUUCUCCAGAAUUCUAGCAUCUCUAGGAACAGAUAAACAACAGCUCAACCUUCCCAUAUCGUAUCCGUUAACAACUUAGACUUUAGAUCAAGUUUUCAUUCCACAAGUUUAGGUCUAGAGCAAGCUUUAAAUUAUAACAGUUAUGUCUAAACUUGAGAGAGAACUUAAAAUGUUCAAAUUAGGUAGAGCAACUAUUCAUCAUAUCCAUGCUUGAGUUUUAUUUAGAUACAGAUUAGCAUAGCCACUUUAUUUAUUUAUUAAACACACUAAGCAAAAGAUAUAUAUAUAAGCAUAAAAUCCUUAUUUGAUUUUUCCAUAGUUAUGUAUAUUUAUAUUCUAAAAUAAUAUAAGUAUAAAGAUAGACAGAUAGAAAUACUUAUCGAGAUAAAUGGGGGUGCUCUCCCCCAAGCUGAAUUUUGACGUAAUUUCUCUUCAUGUAGCUAGCAGGUGGCAGAAGUGUAUUUGAAAGUCAGCAGCAUUCUGACAGCGAUUAGAAUGUCCUCCGUCUGCUAGUCUUCUUACAUUCUGUGGAGCUCAAAUAGACAACAAAGCUUGUGGAACUGAUUAAGUGUUAGCAUAAAUAUCUAGCCUUUAUCAUGUUGAGACUCCUUAAUUAUUACUCUCUGUUUUUAUAUUUUUAUUUUAUAAAGCAGAAAAAUAUUUAUUUUAUUUUUAUGCCACCACAGUGAAUGUGCUUAUGAGUUUUAUGCCACUCGUAUACUCACAUGGGGCUUACUGUUUUUUUAUAUUUUUAUUUUCUUUUAUUUUUAAGAUAGUAUGAAUAUGAUAAACUAAGUAAACUAUUUAAAAUAAUUGAAAGGGAAAGGAUAACUACCAAGUUUACCUCUUGGCAAAACGUUCGGUGUUUUUAAGUCCUCCGAACAGGACUCUCCAUUUUUUUCAAUUGUCCUGAGGUUCGUUGGGAGGCGUAGUCGGUACUUCCGGCGGCGCCUCCUCUUCAUGUAUAAUUAUCUUCUCUUUCCAUACCUGACUCGGUGCUUUGGUCUCCUCUGGAUAAUUCUGUUUAAACUCUACGUCUUCUGACCUUACAACUUCUCCUUCAUAGUCUGCCCAUCCAUCCUUGAUGAUCUGCCUCCUCUGGUUGCGGUUGCGUCGUUUCCUGACCUGCUUAGAUUCUUCAACGAUAUAGUUAGGGUCAGUAAAAUAACGGCGUACCUUCUCUGAGGGGAAGUGCAUAUGGACUUCUCCGGUUUCAAUGUAGAUAAUUGCUUUAACGGUGCUGAGGAACGGUCUUCCAAGGAUGAUGGGUGGAUCAUACUCAUCUUCUCCUAUGUCAAUAACCUGAAAGUCUGUGUAGACAAAGUGAUCGUCUAUUUUGACUGGGACAUCAGUUACUAUUCCUUUAACUUCUCAAAAUGUCUGAUCUGCCAUCUGGAGCUGAAUGUAUGUUGGUCUUAGUGGCAUGGUUCUGAACAAGAGCUGAUAGGUGACUGCGGCCAUUAUGUUGACGCCCGAUCCGGUGUCACAAGUCGUCUGGUAGAAGUUGUAUCCAUUUAUGGAGCAGUAAAUGCUUGGCGUUCCUGGGUCAUCCUUCUUGGUCAAAAGCGGUGACUUAAGUUGGUGAUCUUGGCCUCCAUGAACUACAGUGACCAUCUUAGCUGACUCGGUCCACACUUGCUUGUUCCUGUUCCUCCUGUUGGUCCUCUUCCUUGAUUCACGUCUGGAUUGAUCUGGAAUUUGUGUAGUCUUGUUCUUGAAGAAAAAUGUCUCCUUUCUCCCUUUGACGUAGAAACUGAUCUUGGCAGCACUAGCGUAGAUGAUAGCUCCCGUGGUGUUUAAGAAUGGCCUCCCUAGGAUGAUAGGUGCUCUCUCAUCAUUUCCAGUCUCUACCACUACGAAGUCUGCUAGGGCAUACAAGGUACCAACUCGGACGCAAAGGUUCUUCAAUAUUCCUUUUGGAAAAGUUAUCGUCUGAUAUGCAAACUGUAAACACAUGGUUGUUUCUAAUAAAGGAUAUGUAAAGAAUUUUUUAUGGAGUACCCUAGGUAUAAUGUUGACACUAGAGCCAAAGUCACAGAGUACUUCUGGAACGUCCACCAUGCCGAUGGAGAUCGGGAUGACGGGGCGUCCUGGAUCGCCUCUCUUGACCGGCAGGAGGUCAGUAGAGAAUUUAGUGACGGGGUUACUCCAAUUACUACCUGCAUCAAACAUGUCUACAAGAUUUGCAGAUUCUAAUCCUUCCGGUUGUGAUGGUAUACCGGGGUUAGUAGUAGGAACAGCAACAGCUAUUUGAUUUAACAGGGAUUCAAUCAUUUUAUUAAAGCUAAUUUGAUUCUUGAUGGCAGUAGAGAAAUUAUCCAUUCUAUUAUUUAUAUUUUCUAGCAUUUUAUCAUUAGAUGCCAAUUUCUUAGAUAGGUUAUCCACUAGCUUUCCUUGAUUAGACACUAACUCUCUUAGAGGUGGAAAAUUAUUAUUAUUGUUGUAAGAAUUGUUACCAUGAUAAUUACCUGAGUAGUUAGGCCUCUGUUGAUUCCAACCUUGAUUUUGUUGAGGACUGUUUUAGUAGUUGUUGUUGUUAUUGUUGAUGUAGUUCACAUCCUCAAGCAUCUCAGGGCAGUGGUUGCCUGAGUGUCUAGUAUCUCCACACUCCUCACAAGUCAUGUGAGAGUCGUAGAUGUGCAUUCUUUCUUGUCUCCGGCUCUAUCGUCGAGCUUCUUCAUGAGCAGGUCUAGCUUUGCAGACAGCAUGUCUACCUCCUUCAGCUGAUGCAUACCUCCACCUCUCUUGCGUGUCUGGGUCCUCUCUUCAUUCUAGCUUUGAUUGGACACCAUCUUCUCCACAAGAGCUGUGGCUUGUGGUAUAGUAAGUGAUAAGAAUGCUCCUCCAGCUACAGCAUCCAUGGUUUCUCGGGCACUAUUGCCGAGUCCAUGAUAAAAUGUCUGCAUCAAUAGCCAACUCUCCAUUCCAUGAUGGGGACAUUCUAGGAUGUAGUCUUGAAAGCGCUCCCAUGCUUCUGGAACAGAUUCAUCAUUUUGUUGCUGAAAACUUGUAAUCUUCCCACGGAGAGCAUUGGUCUUGCCCAUGGGAAAGAACUUAGCCAGGAAGUUUGUUGAGCAGAGUGCCCACGUAGUAUUCUUCUCCUUUGUAGCGUAGAACCACUGCUUCGCUCUUCCUAACAGUGAGAAUGGGAAGAGGCAAAGUAGUAUAGCAUCUUUGGAAACUCCUGAUAUGGUGAAUGUGUUGCAAAUAUCCAGGAAGUGUUGUAAAUGAGCACUAGCAUCUUCGUGUGCCUUCCCACAGAAUUAGUUGGAUUGCACCAUGUUGAUAAGUCCAGGCUUGAGCUCAAAAUUGCCAUCGAUCUCUGCAGCAGGUCUAGUGCGGAUGUUGUCUGUAGUGGGAGCUGAGAACUCGCGGAUUGAUUUGUUCGCCAUGGCCUCGAACUCUGAAGACAAGUUCCGGUGAUCUUCUUGAUUGGAUGAAGCUUCUUGCUGAAGUGUUGAUGAUCUCUUCUUGAGCUUGGCUCUCGUCUUCUUGAAUAAUGCUUCGGGAUUGUCAACAAAAUUUCCUGGAAGAUGUCUUCUAUUCAUACAUUCCCCUGCAUAAGAUAAAAUAGAAAAAUAUCGGGGUAAAACUGUACGAGAGAAUAGAUAAGCUCAAUCAUAUUAGUGAUGCGAAUGAUAACUCAAAAUCUUUUAUUCCAUUCUUGAUUAGUAAUCAACCUUCCCCGGCAACGGCGCCAAAAAUGCUUGUUGGGUAUUCUUAACAUCAUUACCAAAAGUAGACUAAGUUCUCUAAAUCUAGUAACGGUGCCAAAAAUGCCAAACCUAUCCCUCACACCACUUAAGCCAAGUUGUCAUCCCCAGCAUGACAUGAGAGACGCGGUAUUGAAAUAUGCAAUUGCUCUUCUAAAUAAAUAAUGAAUGGGAUCUGCAAGCGCACAGAUUAAUACCGAUGUAGCAUUUUAACCGGAAAGUAUUCCAGGUAUCGUUAUUUAUAUUUUUACCACUGGGAAGGGAUUAGCAAUUAUCAAUAUUUAUUACAGAAUAGAAUAUGAGAUUGAGCAUCUAUCAUUGCAUGUAUAAUUGAGAACAUUAUAUCUAACUCUUCAUACAGGGAUAAGUGUCACAUAAAAGAUAUAUGAAGUAAUGAAUAGUGACAAAGAUAAUUAGUCUGAUCUAGCCACAUAAUAAAUAUGAUAAGCACCUCAAUUAGAUACUCUAGAAAGUCAUUAGCAUGGUAUUAGAACGAACUACAAGAAUAUUCCCUAAGUUAUUCUCAACUAUAUAGUCUAGCAUUAUCAUAAUUAGUGCAAGCAUACUUAGCAAUCAUUGUGAGACAAGACUACGCCCAUGCAUAGUGAUAUUAGCAAGGAAUAUGAGAAACAUAGCAAUCACUCCCCUGUAAUAAUGUUGCUCUGCCAGCCCAAUACACGAGAGGGGGACUAUAUUAGAAUCAAUGAAGUUGUCACUAUCACGAACUACCCCACGAUCUGGCAUAUUGGGUACAAUCGUAGAUAAAUACGGUAUAAGCACCACGCCUACACAAUAUCUAUCAUUUACCCAUGGAUCCGAUGGAUAAACGCUAUACGAUCCUAAGCAUGUAUAUAGAUCCAAUCUAACUAAGCCAAGUACAUAACUAUGAUAAACUAAGAACAAUAUAAUCUUGAAUAUAAGCAAGUAGAGCAAAGUCAUAAGCAAUAUAUUGAAGUAGAACAAAUUCAUAUUCAUAAUAUUGAAGAACAAAGAUAAUUAGAAAGCAAUUAGAAGCACAAUUAGAGAAUUACCAAGAAUCCUCUUGACAGAUCCGGAAACCAAUCGAAGAUUGACUCCUUCUAGUUGUAAUCCUAUGUAGCUAUGCUAAUCUAGAUAUCUAAUUGAUGUGGUGGCUCUAAUCUUGAUCAGGGGCUUCUUCUCCCUUGAAGAAUAAUGAAUUAGGGUUGAGAGGCUCUCUCCUCCAGGGGCCAGGGGGUCUGGUUUUAUAGUCUCUUCAAGUGAAUAUGGGCCGUUGGAUCAAACCGACAUAGAUUGUAUGGUUUAGAUUCAUCCUUUAGGUUGGUGGAGAUCUCCCACAAAGCAGAGUCCUGAUUGGACUCAGGAGGUCGGCGGGCGCCCUGAUCACCUGGGCGGGCGCCUAGGGUCAGGCCCCGUUUCGCCUCCGCUUCGGUGUCGUGGCUUCUGGAGUCUUCUAGAUGUAAGAUAAUUGCGCGGCACGUUAAUAUCUCUAUGUAAUCCCGACGUGUGGGCUUUUCUUCCGUAUUUCCUGAUAACCCCCUGCAGAAAUAGACAAACACUAAAACUCAUGGAAUUCUGUCAGAUAAAACCCUAAGUCUAGAUGUUGAUUUCAUUUGGAUCCCUUUCUUUGUUUAUUUGAUAAUUAAAUUUGAUACUUAAGGACCGUCAACAAGAACACGCCGAGUUUGACUCGACGAAUUCCUAAGAACUCAUAGUAAAAAUAAAAUAUGACGAAGUCGUCGAAAAGUAGAUGCUAGAAUAUGUGUAAAAACUUGUGUUUGAUUGAUUGAUAGAUAUCUCAUUACAUUGACAUGGGGUAUAAAUUUAUACCCUAUCCCAAAGAACUACAACCAGACACGACUAGAAUUCGAAUUCCAAAUUAAACAGAGUCCGUAUACAAAACGAACUCUAAUAACUAAGGAAAACAUUAAACUAUCCUCCAUAACCGAUCGGUACACUGCCACAAACCAAUCAGUAGACCGCCUUUCCCCGUCAUCGGCAACCAUUAGUACUAGUCAUCGGCAUGACCUCAUCACUACUUCUGAACUUAGCCAUAUUCCAUCGUUUUCCCAUCGGCACCGACCCCAUCGACAAUUCAUCUGCAAAUCAGCCACCACUUUCCUGCCUACUGAUCUACUCCUCAUUAACUCCAGAUACGUAUUCAAAGAUACGUGUCACAAAACGGUGUCAACACAUGCCCCCAAUUUUAGAGUAUAAAAUCAUUAAUGCUUCGAAUUUCUCUUCAGUAAUGACGCCUUUCCGCAAUUACUCCCUUCGAUCGGUAAUUAAUCACCAAAUCUGAACAGCCUCAGCCUGGUCUUACAGCAUGUACCUCGAAUUUCCCAACUUCUCGAACCGAAUGCCCCCAGAAUGCGCUCAUCGGCAAUAUUACCGUUAGAGAAAACUGCCGAUGAACCGACCAGGAGAUCUUGCACAGUAAGAUAUCUUCAAAACCAUGACCGCUUGUUGUCAAAUCACCUGCGCAAUCCCUAGAUUAUCGUGCGAAUAGUUACCAUAUCCACCUGAACAUCCUCGGAUUUUACGGAUGCGGCAAAGAGAUAAGUUAGAUUUGCCCCUACCCACUUUGUCCUAUAAAUACUUCCUUCUCUGGUACUUUUCUUCUAUCCUAUCAUUCUACAGCCUCAUACCCAUCUUUCUGGCGGCGACAUUGCUUGAGAACUUCAAGAACUCCAGCAAGGACCUCCUCCAAUAAUCCUCCGAGUCUUCGAUUCUUUCCUCUCCUCGGGAAGAAAUGGCCAUCAACUUCGUCGUCCCUGAGGUCAACUCACCACUCCCCUUCUCUUUUACACUUUUGUUGUACUCUUGUUCAUCUGUGAAUCUAUUUACUGAGUACUUUUUUCUUCUCUUUGUUCUAUCUCUUUCCUGUUCUUUCAACCAUCAAACCCUUUAGGAAUUAGCCGAUAAGAUCGUGAUUCCUACCGAUCAACCUCACUUCCAGUGUCUCGGUCCAUUGGGAAACCCAGAUCCCACCAAUCUGAUAAAUGCAGAGACAAAUAGGAUCCCUUUUAGAGCCGAGAAUUUCUCUUUAGACCUGUGGAAAGACACUUUCCGUUCUUGGCCUAGUCCUACCAAGGGAUGGAAAGAUUGGUUCCUAAGAAUCGGCAAUUCAAAUGAAGUCCAAUGGGGUGAGCGGAAAUUAGACCAGUGUAUCAGGCUAUCUAUUGCCGAUAUGAAGAGGAACGAGUCGCUGCUGAUAGCCGCUUCAUACUUUUGGUCAGACAUCCUUAAUGCUUUUUGUAUUCGGCCAUGGUCCUGCUUCGCCUACUCUUGCUGACGUACUUAUGCUCACUGGCUUAGAUAUAUCAACUGCCGAUAACAGUCAUCUGUUAGAUAACAAGCCUAGUUCUAAGGUAGAAACUCGCAGUAUCGGCGGUUGGUCUGGGUAUAUUCAGAAGUACCGAAAACAGGAUCUGUUGGGGAAAGGGAACAUGCCAUUUUUCUGAAUAUGUGGCUAGAUAAGUUUGUAUUUUGCGGCCGAUCGGUAGGACCAACUUCUGUUUUCCUAUCGGCAGCAGAAAGAUUAGCCAGCGGUGGUUGUUUUCCCCUUGGCCGAUACCUGUUAGGUUCUGCUUAUCACCUUCUUCACAAAGUUGCCGAGAAGCUUUUGCUAGGCCAACCCAUCGGCAACUUAGGAGAACCCUGGUGGUUUAUCAACAUGUGGCUCAACGUUCACAUGCAUAAGCGCCUCGGAUUCAACCUCUUCUCACAGCGCUUUCCUAGAGACAUAGCCGAAGAUUAUGAAUUGGAUGAUGAAGAAUCGGCAACUCGCCCCCCUUUGAACUAUGGUGAAGCUGCCAUAGUUUUACCUGGUACAGGUGGGAACGAAGACCAGGUCAGCCGAUUCUUCUAGACUCUCUAUGAGGGUCUAGCCAAAGACCAACGGGCAUGGAUGCCUUAUGAGGAUACAGAAACCAGAUUCCCACUCACUUUCCACCCCUUUGAUAAUGCCCUCAACAAGGACCACGAUCAGAUGAUAGCAAUUAUCACUCCGAGAGCGAUACCAGUGAACUUUUUUGGCAGUGGGAAAACCUCGAGCAUCACCUAUGAGUUCUACAAUCCAUCGGCACUGGCUCGUCAACUGGUCUUUGGACAGCUGCCGAUUGCACUCUGCUAUGCUGAUGUGGUGAAGCCAAGGGAGACCAUAACCAGCGGCCUUGAGUGGAUCAGAAUAGCCCAACUCCCACCAAAUGCCGAUACGUCAGACAUUGAUCUAUCGGCCUGGAUCCCAUCUCUCUUCAUUACUCAAGCAUACAAACAGUGGUGGGAGGAGUGGAAAGAGCACCUGUUCUAUAGAUCGGCUCUCACAUACCGCGGCAUGAUCGACCCCAAGUACAAAGUCCCUGAGAAUACUGUAAGUCUUCAACCGAUACUUCAAUCCAUUUAUUACUUUUAUUCUUAUCGGUAACUUACUUCCUCCAUUUAAACAGGUCGACCAUACACCACCGACAGUCAGCAGGAGCGGAAAGCCGAUCGAACUCCUUCCAUCGGGCCCGAUUUCCCUGAUCGGCAACAAUGCACCAAGCCUGGUGGCUUUAAUGCACCGAAACAUGCGUUUCAAGAAGAUCACCACCAGACGAGCAAAGACAUCUCCAUCGAUUGCUGCUACUGCUUUGGCACAAGCUUUCAAGGUAAAUCCCUGACUUCUUCGAUUUAUACCGAUUCCAUUCUAUACUUACACAGUCUUUUCUGGAUACAUCGGCUGCUAUGGGAACUUCAUCGGUAACUUCUGUCUUUUAGCAGAAAUUCUCAUCAACACUCUGUUAUAUUUUAUAAAACCUUUGUUGUUGUAUCAGCAAACUAGCAAAUCGGCAAGGACCAGAAGUACCAAGACAAGUGCCGAUGCCCCCCAAUCCAGCCAAGUCAAGAGAAAAGGCCCCAAAAGCACCAACCUACAAGCAAAACGUCAGAGGACAGCACUACCUUCUUCUCCUCCCCCAGUAUCGCCGAUUCAUGUAGAAUCGUCCCCUUCUUCACCAAAAGUUCAGACACAGCAAGCACCAUCUCCACCUCAGCCACAAGAAGCACCUCAGCCACAAGAGACAUCAAUCGAUGUACUUGAGCAGACCGCCGAUCCAGUGGAUCCAAUCAUAUCAUCGGUGGUCUCCUCGGAAUAGAUAAGUCCUGUGCCUCCUCAAGGUAAAGUACUACCCACAAAAUUAUCACUAAUGGAUUUACUUUUUUCAAUUUAUAAUUAUCUUUAUUAUUUCUUAGUUGACAUCGUUCCAUCGGCAACUCCAGCCGAUCAUCCUAUGGUACCAUCGGCCUCAACUAGUCAAUGGUGAGAAAUAGCUCUGAAACAAGUAAAUCACCUGAUCUUUAUCCCUUAUAUCACUUAAUACUUGAUCAUCAAAUAACUUAUCUCAUUUUUCUCCAGGAACAAGACUCUCCGGACAACUUGUUUUCUUUCGCCAUUGAGAUCUCUGAUGAUGAAGGCGAGGAAGCAAGCUCCUCCCAAGCAAUAGGAAUUUCAUCGGCAGAUAUCAGAGCAAAACUGGAAGAUCUGCUGGCCCUGCUACAUCAAGACACUGCUCAACUGGUCGUUGAUUCUGAUCCAGCCAAGGCUCUGUUCAAAGCUCUUAGGGGUCAAAUCCCUGCCGAUGCCGAAGAGAUCCUUUUCCAGGCUGCACACUUGGAGAGCCGCCAGCUCCAGUACCAAAAGGCUACCCAACGCCUUGCCGAUAGAGCCACCCAUGCCCAACACUCAAAGGAAGUAAUGCAAGUAAAACGCCUUGCCGAUGAGAAGCACAAGAGCAUCGGCAUCCUACAGUCCUCAGGGGAGACACUAAGGCAGAAGAUCUCCGAUCUGUCGGCAAAAAGGGAAGCCCUGCUGGCAGAGCUCAAGCAAGUAGAAGAGUUGAAGCGAAAUGAUCAGCUACCCUUCAGCAAGAAGAAAAUCAGCUACCCGAAAUGAUCAAGACCCUUCAGCAAGAACAAAACAUUCAAGCCCGUAAGGCACUGCAGAUGAAGAAGAAGUUGAAGCCAGUGGAGGGCUCUGCCGAUGAAGACAUCAGGGAGAUAGAAGAAGCCGAUCAAAUUCGUCUGCGUGCCAUAUCGGCUAUCCAAGCCUUGCUGAAUAUAUGAGCUCUCCAUCGGUGGCAUGUCUUGUUCUGCCUUUAGAAACUGCUGACUAUUUUGGUCUAGCCGAUAGGACUGUUAUCGGCAUCCUUUUAAAACAUCAUACUCUAGCCGAUAGGAAUGUUAUCGGCACUUAAACUUUCAUGCAUCGACCCAAAUGCUCGGGUAAUACUUCUUUAAAUACUUUCCAUUUAAAGCUCUAGGAAAUUCAACUCCUUUGAGAGUCUCCAAAAUAUAAGCAUUACCAGGAGCAGACCGAUUUAUCCGAUAAGGACCUUCCCAAUUAGGAGACCAUUUGCCAAACUUUGAACUUUUAGUCUCAAUCGGUAAUAUUAGUUUCCACACCAAAUCUCCAUCGACAAACUCCUUAGCUUUUACUUUUUUAUCAUACCACCUAGCAACUCUCUUUUUAUUUUCUUCUAUACUUAUCAAAGCCCUCAGCCGAUGUCCUGCUAAAUCGUCUAACUCAUCUUUCAUCAAAGUAGCAUAGCCAUCGGCAGCCAACUGGUCUUGAAAAGAUAGUCGCCUAGAUCUGGUCUUAAUUUCCCAUGGUAGCAUUGCAUCGUGCCCAUACACCAACUGAUAAGGUGAAACUUUAGUCGACCCAUGACAUGCCAUCUGAUAUGACCAUAAAGCUUCACUCAACAAUGUAUGCCACCUCCUAGGAUUUUCUUCAAUCUUUCAUUUGAUGAGUUUAAUAAUUCCUUUGUUAGACGCCUCGGCCUGCCCAUUGGCUUGAGCAUAAAGAAGAAGAAUUCAACACUUUAAUCCCCAUACCGAUUGCAAAUUCAUCAAACUCUCCCGAUGUAAACAUGGUACCCUGAUCGGUAGUAAUUGUUUGAGGAAUACCAAAUCGGUAAACAAUAUGCUCUUUCACAAAAUCAAUCAAAUUAGCCGAUGUUACUUUCUUCAAAGGAAUAGCUUCAACCCACUUAGUGAAAUAAUCAGUGGCAACUAAGAUGAACUUAUGCCCUUUGCUUGAUGGCGGGUAAAUCUGGCCGAUUAGAUCAUUAGCCCAUCCCCGGAACGGCCAAGGCUUAAUAAUGGGAUUCAUAGAUGAUGCGGGUGCCCUUUGAAUAUUGCCAAAUUUCUGACAUUCUUGACACCCUUUGAAAUAUUUAAAGCAAUCCUUGAGUAUAGUCGGCCAAUAAUACCCGUUUUUCCUAAUCAUCCAUUUCAUCUUAAAAGCCGACUGAUGCGCUCCACACACUCCUUCAUGGAUUUCACCCAUCAAACUUUUAGCCUCAUCAUCACCUAAGCACUUGAGAAGAACUCCAUCUAUUGUUCGAUAAUAAAGCUCAUCCCCAAGGAGUACAUACUUGGUAGCUUGAAGCCUGACACGCCUCUCAACCUUUUUAGAUGGAUCUUUUAAAUAAUCAAUGAUCUCCUUUCUCCAAUCAUCGGCACCGAUUGUCGAUAACGUGUUUAAUAUGGGUUGAUAUCUCGAGGCAUGUGGAGCCAACCGAUUAGCCUCUUCAUUAUGUAAUCAAGGAACAUGCACUAAUCGGAAAUCCUUGAAUUCCUUUAAUAGCUGCAUACUCUUUUCAUAAUAGGUUAUCAUCUCGCUUUGGCAUUCAUAAAUUCCAGCCAGUUGAUUUAUAACAAGCAUAGAAUCACCAAAGAUUUCAACAGCAUCAGCAUGAACCUCUUUUAACAAUUCCAACCCUUUGAUCAAAGCUUGAUAUUCAGCUUGAUUAUUUGUUGACGUGGCAACAAUCGGCAAAGAAAACUCAUACUUCUUUCCCUGAGGAGAAACUAAUACUAUACCGAUUCCUGCCCCCCGGUCACACGUAGAUCCAUCAAAGAAGAGCGUCCAAGGAACAAUUUCCAAAGUCCCAACUACACAACAAUGCUAGGUCACAAAAUCGGCCAUAAUCUGCCCUUUAACUGCCUUAGCCGAUUCGUAACGUAGAUCAAAUUCCAACAGUGCCAAAAUCCAUUUACCGAUUCUACGACUCAUAAUCGGCAUAGAUAGCAUGUAUCGGACUACAUCAUCUUUGCAUAUAACAGUGCAUUCGGCCGAUAGCAAAUAAUGUCUCAACUUAACACAUGAAAAGUAUAAGCACAAACAUAACUUUUCAAUUGCCGAAUACCUGGUCCCAGCGUCAAUCAGUCUUCUACUUAAAUAAUAAAUCACACACUCGUUCCCUUCAAAUUCUUGAAUCAAAGCCGAACCGAUGACCAUCCCAUCGGUAGACAAAUAUAAUUUGAAAGGCUUCCCUUGCUGAGGUGGAAUCAGGACUGGAGGAUUUGUUAAAUAAUUCUUGAUUUCAUCCAAAGCUGAUUGUUGCUCUUUUCCCCACACAAACUCUUGAUCGGCUUUCAAUUUAAGUAAAGGACUAAAAACACGAAUUUUACCAGACAAAUUAGAUAUAAACCGCCUGAUAAAAUUUAUCUUGCCGAUCAAAGACUGGAGUUCAGUUUUGUUGGUAGGAGCAACUAUUUUGUUAAUGACAUCAAUAGAUCUCCUACUAAUUUCAAUUCCUCUCUGAUGCACCAUGAAACCAAGAAAUUGCCCUGCCGAUACACCAAAUGCACACUUGGUAGGAUUUAUCUUCAACCCAUGUUUCCUUGUGCACUCCAACACCUUUUGCAGAUUGGCAAGAUGCUUUGUGAAAUCCCCAGACUUAACCACCACAUCAUCAAUGUAAAUCUCUACCAGCUUGCCGAUGAGCUCAAGAAAGAUAAAAUUCAUAGCCCUCUGAUAAGUAGCACCAGUGUUUUUCAAACCAAAGGUCAUGACUGUCCACUCAAACAACUCAACAUGACCAGAACAUCUAAACGCGGAUUUUGAAAUAUCUUCUUCAGCCAUGAAUAUCCUGUAUUGCCAUCCAUAAAGCUAAUGAUCCAAUGUCCAGCCACAACAUCAACUAGCAAAUCGGCAACUGGCAUUGGAUAACCAUCCAUCGGCGUAGCCUUGUUAAGAUUCCUGAAAUCAAUGCAGACUCGAAGCUUCCCAUUUUUCUUAUAAACUGGAACGACAUUGGAGAUCCACUCGGCAUACCGACAUUGCCGAAUAAAUUUAGCUUCGAUAAGUUUAGUUAUUUCGGCCUUAAUAUCAGGAAGAAUAUUAGGACUACAUCGGCGAGCUGGCUGCUGAUGUGGCCGAAAUCCAGAUUUGAUAGGUAACCGAUGUUCGACAAUAGAUCGGUCCAAACCAGGCAUCUCGGUAUAAUCCCAAGCAAAGCAAUCUUUAUAUUCCUUUAACAAAUCAGUUAACUGUUGCUUACACUCAGAAUCUAACUUAGCACUAAUAAACGUAUGCCUAGGCCUAUUACCAUUACCUAUAUCUACUUCCACUAAAUUGUCGGCCGAUGUAAAUCCUUGGCCUAAUUUUCCAUCAUCGGCGAACAUAUCCAUUAAAACUCUUCAUCAGAACCGACUGCUUGGAUCGGUGGAAUUUCGUAAUCGGCAACCUUGAGAAAAUCCUUCUCCUAAAUUUCUCUCGAGAUGCAUCUAGUUCUUUCAUAAGUAUCUGCCUCUGCCGUUGCUAUGACAUACGAAGAAUCCCCUAGGACAAUCUCAAUGUUGUCACGUACCAACUGAACCAAACACUGGUGCAUUGUAGAUGGGAUACAACAAUUAGCAUGGAUCUCCCCAAUAGUAGAUUAUAAGCACCCUUUCCACCGAUGACGAAGAAUGUUGUCGGCAAGGUUUUGCUGCCGAUAGUCAACUCAACACAUAUGGCUCCCUUGACUGGAGACACAUUUCCUUCAAAGUCCUUUAACAUCAUAACGGUCUUGGUCAAGUCUUGAUCUCUUUUUCCAAGCUUCCAAUAGACUGCAUACGGCAUAAUAUCGAUAGCAGCCCCACCAUCAACAAGUAUCUUGGUCAUCGGCUGCCCAUCAACCCUACCUUUGACAAACAGAGCUUUAAGAUGCUGUCUUUCAUUGUCGGUAGGCUUUUCAAAGAUAGCCUUCAUUGGAUCCAGAGCCAACUGAGCUAUCUGGUCGGAAAAAUCCACCUCUUCAUCAUCACUAAAAGGCGCAAGGAAUUCCAUCAACAACAUGAAUACCAUGUUAACACCUGCCGAUGGCCCUUUUCCUUUAGGAUCUGGCUGUUGCUGAUCUUCAGACUUAGCAGAAUUUUCGCCUUUAUUCAGCUCUUCUUGCCUUUCACGCUGCGGCCUUCUUCUCUGUGUCCUAGUCAACCCUUUUGGACACCCUGGAGGAAGUUAUGGCUGCCUUACCGAUUGACGACGACUUUCCCUUGUCUCCACUCGAUAAGUAUUACCAUCUCUGCAAAAUAUGAAUUCAUCGGGAACUCGUGCAUUUGCCAUUUCUUCAAGCUCUUCUUGGUUUCUGGGAAAAUAUCCGACACGGUCACCAAGCCUGUCAUGCACACUUAGCCUGCCCCCCAGCCGAUCAUGAACUGAUGCUCUUCCCCUAAUCGGCCCAUCAAAACGCCGAUCAUUGUUCUGAUACUGCCGAUUUAGUCUAUCAUACCGAUCAUAGCCAUUGCAUUCAGGGUAGUCUCUAACAGUUGGUAGCUUGAUGUUUUGCUCCCAACAGUAUAUGAAAAAUGGAUAAUUCCAGUGAUCUUUAUGUCGAUUCCACUCUUGUCGGCGUCUUUCUUCUUCUCUACGACGAUCCUCCUGUUGGCGUCGAUACCGAUCUUCACAUUGCUACCAGGUCUCCCGAUGCCUUCUAUGAGUUAUCACAAUGCCAGAUCGGGGAAGUCUUCCUGAAUUGGUCCCUUCCUGGAUCAAACCUUUGCCUUUGGCAUCAUCGGCAGUAAUCUGGUGCUGAGGAUCUACCGAUGCACUUCUUUCAGCUGCUUCUGACGUCAAGACUUUGGUUUUUCCCUUAGCAUCCAACAUAUUUGUAGAGAAAGGAUGAUGAUCGAUCUUCAUCGGCUUCUGAGCUUUGAAAUUAUCAAAUUUAAUUCUCCUAGAUUCUAUAGCCGAUUGCAACUGCUGCUUGAAAACUUUACACUCAUUUGUACUGUGAGACGUUGCAUUAUGCCACUGGCAGUAUUUCAUUUUCUCUAAUUCCUCAGCCGAUGGAAUCACAUGAUUGGGUGACAACUUGAUUUGCCCUUCCUGAAGUAGAAAGUCAAAUAUCCUAUCGGCUUUGGUAAUAUCAAAUGCAAACUUUUCUGGUUCCUUAUGCCCAAAAGGGCAAGAGAUCGGCUUCUUAUUCUUCACCCAUUCUGCCAAGCCGAUGAUUGGUUCUUCAUCAGAAUCUGAGCUUGUUGCCUCAUCGAUGAAUGACAACAUUUUAUUCCAUGCCCUCUUAGGUUCAAAAGGUUUGAUAUCUUGGUCAGAAAUCUUCUGCACUAAAUGACUCAGGCUUUCGAACUCUUGAGAAGCAUAUUUGUCUCUGAUAUGUGGCAACAAUCCCUAGAAAGCCAAAUCGGCUAGCUGCCGAUCGUCCAGAAUCAGACUAUAGCAUUUAUUCUUAACCUCUGGCAAUCUUUGCACAAAGCUUUCAACCGAUUCAUCAUUGCGUUGCUUCAGCUUGACUAAAUCGGUAAUCUUCUUCUCAUGAACCCGAGAAAAGAAAUAUUUGUGGAAUUUCUUCUCUAGAUCGGCCCAAGUAAUCACUGAAUUAGGAAGUAAUGAUAUAAACCAAGUAAAAGCCGAUCCAGACAAAGAUGAUGAGAACAAGCGAACACUUAACUCAUCUCUGUUAGCAGCUUCUCCACACUAGAUGAUGAACCUGUUAACAUGUUCCAUAGUUGAUGUAUCAUAUUGCCCAGAAAACUUGGUGAAAUCUGGUACCUUGUACCGAUUUGGAAGAGGAAUUAAGUCAUAUGCAAGAGGAUACGGUGUCCGAUAAGAGUAAGUGUUGACUUUGGGUUUUAUCCCAAAUUGGUCUCUCAUCACUUUAGCUAUCUUAUUAGCCCAAUAAGCAUCGGCAUCGUGCCAAUGAGGUGGUUGUGGAUCUGGCACCUACUGAUAAGCUUCCACAUGUCUCUAAGGUGCACGAUCUCCAUGAAACAUUGGAUUAACCAUCGCCUACUGACCACCAAGUUGCUGGCCAAGAUUCAUUGGCUAGUUGAUCAACCCUUGAUUCUGAAACCCAGGUUGGACUGGUCCCUGUUGAAACCCUACAGCCUCAUGAUUUUGCUGAGGCAUCUGUGGAAAGACAAACUGCCCUGUCCAUCCAUUAUUAACAUUCAUCGGCGUAGGUCCUGCCGAUGACUGGUAAUUGGGCAUCAUCAUUGAAUUGACAUACCCUGGCUGUGUCAUAAACCUUUGCUGCGUCGGCAUUGGAUCUGCCGAUGCAUUAGGCAUCUGGAACGUUGGCGCUUGAGAAUUCCCAGUGAAAAGUCUUGCAGUAGUAGUUGUACAAUACUGGGGAUUCUGAGUCAUCGGCGAGCUUGGAGGUGCCGAUGCCAUAGGAGCCUUGCCUGUCACGUCAGCCACUUGAGAUGUUCUAGGACCUUUUGCCAUCAAUUCUGGGGGCAUACCAUAACCCCACCAAUUGAUAGGAACAGACCCUAACAUUGCCGAUGCCAAUAAAUCCGUAGCAAGUUUGAUUUGCCCGUCCAAUGUUGAUGGAUUAGUUGUCAUCGGUGUAGAUUGCGCACUAGUCAUCCCUAACGUGCUUGGAGGGGAAGUAACUUCUGCACCCACAACGGCCGUAGUAGCCGAUGGAGCCGUAACCACCGAUGAUCCUAGCUGAUGCUAGGUAGGACCCACAUAAGAUGGUGGUACUUGUCCUUCUUUGAAAGUUCUAGCCACAACAUUAAAAACCGUAUUGGACAGUACACCAGAUUGAUUGAUCAGAGCACGGUUGACAGCACUAUCAACCAUCUCUUGCAAUUUACCAGGAUUGGCUUCAAAAGUUAUUUGCCGAGGUGCCGACAAUGCUUCCUUUUGGAUCACCUCACCACUCCUGUUGAUACUGAAGGAUUUCAAGCAUAGCUGCUUGUAGUCCUCCAUGGCUUUUGCCAUAGCUUGCUUCUGCUCGUCUCUAAGAUUGGCUUCCGUCACAGGGAUGACGUUCUCCAAGUCGAAAUUAUUGUUCGACAUGUUGAUCUUGAUCUUGAAUCUCUGUCCCACUGGGCGUGCCAAAAGAUGUGUUGAUGCAAAAGCUGAUCUGCAAACACAAAGGGCUAAUACCCGAUUCAAACGUUAAGGCGUGCCAGCCGAUUUGACCUUGCAAUCGACAAAGGUGGUAACUCGAACACUUUGGUCCCGACAACAGCGAUGCGCCUGGAUGUCACAGUCAAGAGGUGCUCAUGCGGAACUUUGAGAACACGCCAAGUUUGACUCGACGAAUUCCUAAGAACUCAUAGUAAAAAGAAAAUAUGACGAAGUCGUCGAAAAGUAGAUGCUAGAAUAUGUGUAAAAACUUGUGUUUGAUUGAUUGAUAGAUAUCUCAUUACAUUGCCAUGGGGUCUAAAUUUAUACCCUGUCCCAAAGAACUACAACCAGACACGACUAGAAUUCGAAUUCCAAAUUAAACGGAAUCCGUAUACAAAACAAACUCUAAUAACUAAGGAAAACAUUAAACUAUCCUCCAUAUCCGAUCGGUACACUGCCACAAACCAAUCGGCAACCCCUGCAUCUUUCCCCAUGACCAUCGGCAGACCGCCUUUCCCCGUCAUCGGCAACCAUCAGUACUAGUCAUCGGCAUGACCUCAUCACUACUUCUGGACUUAGUCAUAUUCCGUCGUUUUCCCAUCGGCACCGACCCCAUCGGCAAUUCAUCUACAAAUCAACCACAACUUUCCUACCUGCCGAUCUACUCCUCAUUAACUCCGAAUACGUAUUCAAAGAUACAUGUCCAAAAACGGUGUUAACAGUUCCAUGUUGAACCGUUUCAACACCUUGUCUAUAUAUGUGUCUUGGCCUAAUCCUAUUAGCCUUUUGGACCUAUCUCUAUAGAUCUUAAUGCCCAAAAUGUAUGCUGCUUCUCCUAAAUCCUUCAUAGAAAAACUAUUAUUUAGUGAAGUCUUUACUGAUUGCAACAUUGGAAUGUCAUUCCCAAUCAAUAAUAUGUCAUCCACAUAUAAGAUUAGAAAUACAACAGUGCUCCCACUUUCCUUCUUGUAAACACAAGGUUCUUCUUCAUUCUGACGGAAGCCAAAACCUUUGACCACUUCAUCAAAAUGAAUAUUCCAACUCCGAGAUGCUUGCUUUAAUCCAUAAAUGGAUUUCUUAAGCUUGCAUAUUUUUCUAGCAUUAUUAGGAUCAACAAAACCUUUGGGUUGUAUCAUAUACACGUCCUCUUCCAUUCCAUUUAGAAAUGCUGUUUUAACAUCAAUCUGCCAUAUCUCAUAAUCAAAAUAUGUAGCAAUUGCUAGAAUGAUCCGGAUAGAUUUAAGCAUCGCUACUAGCGAGAAAGUCUCGUUGUAGUCAAUUCCUUGAACUUGCCUAAAACCCUUUGCGACAAGUCGAGCUUUAUAGAUGUGAACAUUUCCAUCCAUAUCCUUUUUCUUUUUAUAGAUCCAUUUGCACUCUAUGGGUCUAACCCCAUCAGGCGGAUCAACCAAGUUCCAAACUUGAUUGUCUCCCAUGGAAUCUAUCUCGGAUCUCAUAGCACUUUGCCAUUUCACAGAAUCUGGGUCCAUCAUUGCUUCUGCAUAAUUUGUAGGUUCGUCAUCGUCUAACAAUAACAAUUCCCCCCGCAAUUCGUGAAGUCAUGCUGAUCUUCGUGGUUGUGGUGGUGUUUCUACUACCACGGGCGUCUCAACAUGUUUUGCUAUGUUAGCAUCGCUCGUAGAGUCAUCCCCAACUGGUUCAUCUUAAACUUCUUCAAGAUAAACCUUUGUCCAUUUUUCUCCCUUUUGAGAAACUCUUUCUCUAAGAAAACACCAUUUUGAGUAACAAACACUUUGCCCUCUGUCCGGUUAUAGACAUAAUACCCUAAAGUUUCCUUUGAGUAUCCCAUGAAAAAGCACUUGUCUGAUUUGGGUGUUAGUUUAUCUGAUAUAAGUCGUUUGACAUAAACUUCACAACCCCAAAUUUUUAGAAAAGACAAACUAGGACACUUACCAGUCCACAUCUCAUAUGGUGUCUUAACUACAGACUUAGAUGAUACCCUAUUUAAAGUGAAAGCGGCUGUUUCUGGAGCAUAUCCCCAAAAUGAUAAAGGUAGGUCUGACUGGCUCAUCAUAGAUCGAACCAUGUCCAACAAAGUUUGAUUACAUCGCUUAGACACACUGUUCCUCUGAGGUGUUCUAGGUGGUGUAAGUUGUGGAAUGAUUCGACAACUCUUUAGAUGAUUGCUAAAUUCGUGACUCAAAUAUUCGCCUCCAUGAUCAGAUCGCAAAGCUUUAAUUUUCUUGCCACGUUGAUUCUCUACUUCAUUCUAAAAUUCUUUGAACUUUUCAAAUGUUUCAGACUUAUGUUUCAUUAAGUAGACAUAUCCAUAUCUACUAAAAUCAUCAGUGAAAGUUAUGAAGUAUUGGAAUCCGCCUCUAGCUGUCGUGCUCAUUGGUCCACAUACAUCAGUAUGUACAAGUUCCAAUAAGUCAGACGCUCUCUCAGGAAAACCUGUGAAAGGUGCCUUGGUCAUCUUUCCCAAUAAGCAAGACUCACAUGUCUCGUAUGAUUCAAAAUAAAACGAAGUUAAAAGCCCAUCUUCAUGGGGCCUCUUCAUGCGAUUCUCACUUAUAUGACCCAAACGACAAUGCCACAAAUAAGUAGGACUUAACUCAUUAAGCCAAGGCCUUUUAGAACUAGCAUUAUAGAUAGGUGCAUCAUCAAGAUUUAAAAUAAAUAACCCAUUCACAAUGGAUGCAUAAGCCACAAAUAUGUCAUUCUUAGAGAUCACACAGCCAUUGUCUUUGUUCACAAAUGAAUAACCAUCCUUCAUCAAACAUGAAGGAGACACAAUGUUUCGACUUAAACUAGGAACAAAAUAUCAAUUAUUCAAUUCCAAAAUAAAUCCCGAUGGUAGAUGAAGUUGCUUCAUCCCAACGUUCAACGCAGCAACUCUUGCAUUAUUGCCCACGUGGAAAUCAACUUCUCCCUUUUCAACACUUCUACAUCUUAUCAUUCCCUACAUCGUAUUGCAAAUAUGAGCAACCGAUCUGGUAUCAAAUACCCAAGAAUUAAUAUAAGAGUUAGCAAGGAAAAUAUCCGUAACAUAAACAACAAGUGUAUGAGCAGCGGAAGUACCUUUACCACCGCCAUCCUUCUUCAAGGACACCAAGUACAACUUGCAGUUUCUCUUCCAGUGACCUUUUCCCUUACAGUGAAAGCACUGAGCAUCAGCAUCUGGGCCAGCCUUAGGUGUAGGUGGGUUUGGCUUAUAGAUCUCAUCCUUAGCCUUGCCCUUUUUCUUCUUCCAAGCGUUGCCCUUCUUUCUCUUAUAGUUAGGCUUGUUUUAGACAGCCAAUACUUGGCUACUGCCUGCACUCUUCUUGAUGUCAGCCUCUACUGUUUUUAGCAUGCCACACAACUCAUUCAAGCCCUUCUCCGCCCCAUGCAUAUGGCAGUUCGAGAUGAAGUUUCCAUAACUGGGUGAAAGAGACGAGAGAAUGAAAUCAGUAGCCAACUCUUGGCUAAUUGGGAAGCCUAGCUUCUCCAACCUCUGAGUGUAACCAACCAUCUUGAUUACAUGUGGGCCAACUACUGUGACCUCUGCUAGCUUGCAAUCAACAAAAGCUUUUGAGACUUGGAACCUUUCAGUUCUAGCCUCAGCCUAGAACAUAUCAUUAAGCGCUAUGCUAAUAUCAUACGCUGCAUGAUUAUUUUCGAACUGCAUCUACAGCUCAGGUUCCACACAAGCAAGCAUGAGGCAACUCACUUCAAGAUCAGCAUCACAUGCUUUCUUGUAAGCGUUCUUCUCGGCAGUAGAUGCAUUAUCCUCAGGUGCUUCUGGUAAUGGGGUGUCUAGAAUCUCUUCCUUUUUCUCAGCCUUGAGAACAAUUCUCAGGUUACGGAUCCAAUCCACAUAGUUUGAUCCAUUCAACAUAUCUUUCUCAAGAAUUGAGCACAAAGUAAAUGUUUGAUUGGUGGGCGCCAUUAAUCUACAACAAAAGGAAUGCAAAAUACUAAGACAACAUAUCCAAGACAGAGUAAAUAAUAUUAAAUAAAAUCUACUCCCACUAAAAUCAAUAUCCCUCAAUUGAUACUUAGUGAUUCAAGACCCACAACUAACAAGUAUACUAGUGAGCUUUAGCAUCACCACUAGUAGACAUGGUAGUUCGGUAAACAACUCCUUGCUAAUCAUAUCACAUAUGACUCUUGUUGUUGGGAUGGCAUCUCUAUGCUUGUGUUACCCAACUACUUAUGCUCCAAGGUCCCUAACUGUUAGGAUGACCUUGUUCAAGAAAACCAACCCUUCUGCAGUAAGUAUCCGAUACGAACCUGCCUAGUCAAGGAAAACCAGUGACACCCUAAUUUCAUAGACCUACCACCGAUUGUACAAGACACAUGACAGUGCAAGGUUUGGGGGAGCAUGUAACUUAAACAUUGCUGAGGGAUCGUUCUACUUCACUACCGCGUGCAUGUAGACAAAACAUCAUCGCAUAUGAAAGUAAAACAUAGUAAGAAUGGCAUUAACACAGAUAUGACUUGGUAUAGCCCAUUAUCACUUUGGGGAUCUCCAUCUCCAUCUCCAUGAUCCAUGUACGCCAUCCUCCAGUAAUGAUUCCACCAAGACUAGCUAUCACUAACGCAAGACUGUGAAUCAAAAUUACAUAGUCGUGGGUAGGAUCAUCACAAAUUGGCACGCAGGCCAUUACAUCAGGUAGAUAAUAUCUAUGUGGCUCCAGCCAUAUUGUCAUUAUCAUGACGUGCAAGCCAUGAUUUUAUUACAUACAUGCAUCACAUACACAUAAGGGCUAUACCAGUGAUGAAUCCCUGCAAAAUAGAGUUAACCGAUUCGGACAUCUAAACUUGCAGGGCCAAAAAACUCUAUUUUCCUGACCUUUUUUCGCAAUUCUAAUUUCACCGAACAUAGUUUCACAUGGAGAAUUGAAUGUAAAUUUUUUUUCUCUAUGAUUUUUGUUUAGAGAUCGUCUCAAUCUAAGUUACGGAUCAAAAGUUACGGCUGUUCUACCGAACAACACUUUGCCCGGCAAUCCACCGCCCGGCAGUAGAUCCCAUCUACUACCGCCGCGCAUCACAUGCGCCCGGCACUUGACCUAGAGUUCAAUUAGAUCAAUCUGAUUGAUCUCUAUCUCACCAUUACUGGGUUUACAUGUAUCACUUAACUUGGAUGACGGAAUUCCGACCGGUACGAGUAGAUCAUUACAAUACCAGCACAACAAAACCUUGAACCAAGAUCAUGAGACUCAUCUAAAACUGCACAUAUCUCUAUAAGUACUGUUGAUAUUUGGGAACGCAAUAAGGAAUUGAUCCGCAAGCGCACGGAUAUCGGUGAGCAUUUCACCCGAGAGGUUAUCCAGAGUAUCGUAUUUAUAUUUUUACCACUGAGAGAAAGCAUGCAUCUGACUAACCAAAUCUAUUGCUACUACCCUUUAGGCUACAAAGAAUGUUUCUCGAUGUGAGUGAUGUAUAGAGAAGACUGCAACCGUAGUCUCAUUCUAACGUUGGUACGGAUGAUCUACUGUUCUAUUAGGGAAGCUUACGGAAUCUAGACACCACAGAGGAUGUUCGACCCGCACCUAUAAACCUACCCGUCCUGCUAACGAGAUGUGGGAUGCAAAGGUAACUCGGAAAUGUCACGUUCCUCGCUACUACCACGGUCCAGCUAGUCAGGGGAUAUCUAUGAGUACCCUAGCCCAAACACCACGUUUACGCUAGCAAUGAUUACUCUAAACUCAACCGGAAGAGAUUAAAGUAAACUCAUAAACCAAAGAACAAUAAAACAAGAACUUACUAGAAUUAGAAGUCGAAUUAGUGAAGAAUCCUAGGAGCAAGCCUCGGGUUAGGAGACUUGAUCCCGCAGGUAAAACCUCGGAGUAGACACCGACAGGCCGGGCUUCCUCCGAUCUACACCUCCACUCUAUCUCUCUCAAUCUAGUAGAAACUAGAAGAUCUAAUUCUACUCACAUUGGAUGCUAAGCCUAAACAAAUAUUUAUUUAGAGGAGAGGUAUUCCUUCGAGGGCUCCUCUCAACUCUAUGAUGAACUUGUCUCCUCCAGGGGCCUGGGGGUCUGAUUUUAUAGUCCCCUCAAGUGAACGUGAGCCGUUGGAUCACACCGACAUUGAUUGGACAGUUAUCCUUGAUCCUUUAGGUCGGUGGAGCAUGGUCCCCGAAAAGAGUUCUGAUUGGGGUCCAGGUCAGGGUGGGUGCCCUGCCCCCGGGCCCGUUCGCCUUCCCGUUCGUUUCCGUGGCUUCUAGAGUCUUCUAGAUGACAGAAAAUUGCACAGCACGUUAAUAUCUCUAUGUAAACCUGACGUGUGGGCCUUUCUUCCAUAUUUCCUGAUAACCCCCUGCAGAAAUAGACAAACACCAAAACUCAUGGAAUUCUGACAGAUAAAACCCUAAGUCUGGGUGUUGGUUGCAUUUGGAUCCUUUUCUUUAUUUAUUUCAUGAUUAUUUUUGGUACUUAAGGACCGUCAAAAACUCCCCCAAGCUUACCUCUUGCUCGUCCCUGAGCAAGGAUGAACUCAAGAGUUUCUGCAGUGGUUUCAUGCCUAAAAAGUAAGAUCUCAUCUCUGAGUUUGAGUAAACUGUUUAGACUUAAAACUUACUCAUUUGACCUUUCACCAUGGGGCUUGUAACCUUCACUUGUGUCUUGAGCAGUUAAAAGAUAGAACGGUCAAGUUAAGCGCCAUGUCUCUUGUUCUUUGAUUAACUAUAGCUCUGGAGUUUUUUUUUCCAGAUUUUCAAAUAAAACUCAGAGAUUCCUUGUAUGACUCUCUCAAAUCUCUCUUUUGUAGUAUUUCUGGAUCCUUACCAAGGCAGUAAUGGUAUAUGCCUUCUCUCUCACCCUACUCUAAUAAGGUUUUGAUAUCUGGAGCUCAUAUGUGGGAGACAGCUAAUACAUACUUACAAGACAUUUAUUGCAUAGUCAAACUAUGGAUCCAGAGAAACAAGUCAAUAAGCCAAAUCAAGAUGUGCAUGUGUGGCGAAUGAAUGGUGUAUGGUGAUGAUGGUGAUAACAAUGGUGAAAGUCUAAUUCUAAUUUUGCUCUUUUAAGGGGAUACAUACCUUUCUUGCACUUUGAAGCUUUUUGAGGAGAAUGAGAUGCUCUAUAUUUUUCUUUUUCUUUUCUCUCAGGUGGGUAUCUUGUACCCCUAAUUCUACUGUCGGACACUUGUCCAUUUUUACCUCUUGUCUCACUCUUUCUUUUCUUCGAGGUUCCGGUCACUUGCCCCUUUUUAUUUCCUCGUAUCCUUCAUUUUUUUACUAGAGCACUUAUCUCCUGAAAUAAUAUAGCAAGUGGUAGUAACAAAGAUAUCUCGAGCAUUUAUUUCACAGGGAAUAACAGAAUUAGGAGAAUGUUUUUGGCUAUUCUCUCCCGGAUUAGGAGUAGAAUAAUUUUAGGUAAAUCUAGAGAUAGAAUUGAGUGGAUGUAUGUGGAUGCGUACUUCCUGAGUAGAAGUAGCAUGUAUGAGUGAACGUGCAAGU